Molecule: ribosomal RNA, 118 nt
Filed under: Chelonoidis abingdonii (Abingdon island giant tortoise)
Lineage: Eukaryota; Metazoa; Chordata; Testudines; Testudinidae
Source: RNAcentral
GUGUGUUGCCAAACCCCCUCAGGCUGUGAUCUUGUCAGCUCUCAUACACGAAGCAAGGCUGGGCUGGGCUAGUACUCAGGUGGGAAGCCUCCAAGGAAAAUACAAGGUACUUCAGGAA